Molecule: non-coding RNA, 300 nt
Organism: Xyrichtys novacula (pearly razorfish)
Lineage: Eukaryota; Metazoa; Chordata; Actinopteri; Labriformes; Labridae
Source: the annotation of a GenBank genome assembly
GUGCUGUACAGGAAAACAAACCCUCUGUGUGUGUGUGACCGGUCAGCAACAAAAGAAGUCCAUCAACUCAUCACUGUGACUCUCAGAGCCGAAGAAACUUUUGAUCCAGCAUUAGAAAAGUUGUUGCUCACACAAUGCCGGACCUUUAACUGGUAUGUAUUUGUUUCAGCAGUCACAUCAUUUGUUUGUGUUCAUCUGAUGUGACAACCUUCACUUCUCUCUGUAAAUCACAGAACUCAGCAUGAGCUGAAGAACUAGCAAAGUCCUGCAGAUCUUCAUUGUGGCUUCCUAGAACCAAGC